GUUUGUUUAUAUGUACAUAUUUCAGAGUCUAUGAUACUGUAAUAGUAUAUUUUAUUUAUAUUUGACAAUUUUAUGCAAUAUUUCCUCAUGUGUGCCAAGCUGAUAUAAAAAUAUAUGAUAGACUGUCGUAAACUGUGGAUAUCAAUUUUGGUGAAUUGAGAAAAAACUUGCAUUUUGAUGGAUAUUUAAUUCAAAGAUUAAUAAUGAAUCCACAGUAUAUAAAUUGUAAUUGUUACAAUAAACACCACUGCUUUUUUAUGAUAUAAACAAAAGUGCUUUUUGUUGAGCCCUAUGCACUAUAUGUGAAAUUUUCUUUUGCUGGGAAUUUUUUUUUGAGCAAAUCCAUGUACCUGUAUUACUUAGCAUUCACAUUUAAAGAACUAAAACAUCCUUUCUCAAUACUUUUUGUCAGGUUUCCCAUGCCAGUGGGACAGUUGCAUGAUAUUUUUUUCAAAAUAAUUGGCAGGCCUAAGAAUUUUAAACCCAAGCCACCAUUUUUCUGUUACAAAUUAAGAUUUGACUAUAUCAUGUAUAUCGAGCAUCUCUUUCUUCCAAAACUUUAUUUCAGUUGAACAAUGUGAUUAGGACUUUUAUGUCUGAAACUUUAUGACAAUCAUAAAAAAAAAUGUAUUCUUUACCUUUUUCCCCAAUAAGUAUAUUCUUGCUAACGGUUUGUGUCUGAUGAUUUGAAACAUUUAUAUAUUUUUACUCCUAUGUGUACUCAUUGUCCACCUUUUGACAUUGUUGGCUUAAAAAAACAACCACUAUUUUCUACUGAAUUUUGAAACAAUG
This 792-nucleotide long non-coding RNA is filed under the name Mytilus galloprovincialis (Mediterranean mussel). Lineage: Eukaryota; Metazoa; Mollusca; Bivalvia; Mytilida; Mytilidae. The record is from RNAcentral.